Molecule: long non-coding RNA, 1265 nt
Filed under: Equus caballus (horse)
Lineage: Eukaryota; Metazoa; Chordata; Mammalia; Perissodactyla; Equidae
Description: lncRNA (ENSECAG00000054169.1)
Source: RNAcentral
GCCAUUACUGCCGCAGCCGGACCACAGACUGUCCCUUGCACCCAGGACUGGCUCAAAAAUCCCUUUGUCAAAAAAGUGUGCCCCAGACACUACCUAACUUUGCAUCCAGUGAAGGGACUGACUGUCUUCUCGCGGGUUCUCUUCUCUCAGGCAUCAGUGAAUGGCAGCAUUGAGGCUUCUAGAACUCUGUGCUCUUUCUAGUACCCUGGGCCAGAACCAGGGAGCUCUGGGUUCCGGGCGUACAUCUGGAAGGCUGGUGCUGGUGCCAGCUCCCAGCAGGUCAGUCUGUGUGGCUGCUGUGUGUGAAGGCUGCGUGCUGGGCACACGGGGGCACAGCGAUGGCCUAGUCCACGUUGAGGCUGUGAGGAGGACCAAGGACCCUGCAUCAGGGGAGUGGGGCAGAACCUGGUUACUUUCUAUCAACCUCAUUUCACAACUGUAAUGGCUGUUGGAGCAAGAAGCUAUACUUCCCAGACAUAGUGAAUAAAAGAAUAAAUGAAUGAAUAGGGUUGGUCCAGAUGUUUAAGGCUCUGAACAGCCCGAGAGGGGAGUUUGGACCUGAUCCUGUGGUCGCCAGUGGGAUGGAAGGUCUUGAGCUAGCCAAGAAAAUGCUCUUGAACUCUUCCAAGGCAGACGCUGCAGCCAGAGCCUUGGCCCCCUCCUGAGCUGGUAAAGGGGCACUCUCGCCCCCAGGACUGGCCUAAGGGACAAAACGCUGCAGGCACCUCGGGGAGCUUGCCAACCAGGCUUCCCUGGUGGUACAGGACUGAAAGAGGCACUCACUCUACUUUUCACAGCAUUCAAAGGCAGAGCUGUCAAAAGCUGGCCCCCAAAUGCUCGUAUUAUGUGGGAGAAAGUCUUGGGGAGAAAAUGAGGAAGGAGGGGAAUUAUGCAAUUGAAAACAUGUACGAAUCCAGACAGAAUAAUGAAGCACAGACACAAGAUUUUGCACUCAAUGGAAAUUGCAUUUAGCCAUGUUUUGUGGUUUGAGAAAAAGAGAGAGACUGACUCAGAGAGACAGAUGGAGACACACGGGGCGAGGAGAAAGAGAGGGGAAAAAAGAAGAGCCAGGGAUGCAAAGAGAGAGUCAACAGCAGCCAGAUGGAGUCCCACAGAGGAGAGGGAACAGUGGGGCCUGGGGCAACCGCUUCGUCACCGCCGACCCUGCUCAUCUCUCCUGACUUUGCCCCUGGGUCUGCAGAGGGUCGGUCCGCAAGUCCCAGGGCUGAAGCCAGUCCUGAUCUGAGCGAGAAGAAAACCAGGAG